This 1011-nucleotide ribosomal RNA is filed under the name uncultured bacterium. RNAcentral's name for it is "bacterial SSU rRNA". It matches the Rfam family "Bacterial small subunit ribosomal RNA", at positions 8 to 1004 of the family's 1533-position model. The record is from RNAcentral.
AGAGUUUGAUCAUGGCUCAGAAUCAACGCUGGCGGCGUGCCUAACACAUGCAAGUCGAACGCGACUUAGGCUUCGGUCUAAGUUGAGUGGCGAACGGGUGAGUAACACGUGGGUGACCUACCUUCGAGUGGGGGAUAACGUCCCGAAAGGGACGCUAAUACCGCAUAACAUCCUGCCUUUGAACAGGCGGAGAUCAAAGCCGGGGAUCGCAAGACCUGGCGCUUGAUGAGGGGCCCGCGCCUGAUUAGCUAGUUGGUGGGGUAAUGGCUCACCAAGGCGACGAUCAGUAUCCGGCCUGAGAGGGCGGACGGACACACUGGGACUGAGACACGGCCCAGACUCCUACGGGAGGCAGCAGUGGGGAAUUGUUCGCAAUGGGCGCAAGCCUGACGACGCAACGCCGCGUGGAGGAUGAAGGUCUUCGGAUUGUAAACUCCUGUUGCUCGGGACGAAAAGCUUCGACCUAACACGUCGAGGUCUGACGGUACCGAGUGAGGAAGCCCCGGCUAACUCUGUGCCAGCAGCCGCGGUAAUACAGAGGGGGCAAGCGUUGUUCGGAAUUACUGGGCGUAAAGGGCGCGUAGGCGGCCUGCUAAGUCGAACGUGAAAUCCCUGGGCUCAACCCAGGAACUGCGUCCGAUACUGGUUGGCUUGAAUCCGGGAGAGGGACGUGGAAUUCCAGGUGUAGCGGUGAAAUGCGUAGAUAUCUGGAGGAACACCGGUGGCGAAGGCGACGUCCUGGACCGGCAUUGACGCUGAGGCGCGAAAGCCAGGGGAGCAAACGGGAUUAGAUACCCCGGUAGUCCUGGCCCUAAACGAUGAAUGCUUGGUGUGGCGGGUAUCGAUCCCUGCCGUGCCGAAGCUAACGCAUUAAGCAUUCCGCCUGGGGAGUACGGUCGCAAGGCUGAACUCAAAGGAAUUGACGGGGGCCGCACAAGCGUGAGCAUGUGGUUUAAUUCGACGCAACGCGAAGAACCUUACCAGGCUCGAACGGUAGCUGACAUCCUACGA